CACGUAAGGGGCGAGCGUUGUUCGGAAUUAUUGGGCGUAAAGAGCGCGUAGGCGUCCUGAUUAGUCCUUAAUUAAAUUCCAAUGCUUAACAUUGGAACUGUUAAGGAAACUGUCAGGAUUGAGGAUUUUCGAGGCAAACGGAACUUGCGAAGUAGGAGUGAAAUCCAUUGAUAUCGCAAGGAACACCAAUGGCGAAGGCAGUUUGCUAGGAUUUUCCUGACGCUGAGGAGCGAAAGCGUGGGGAGCGAAUGGG
Molecule: ribosomal RNA, 253 nt
Filed under: uncultured bacterium
Lineage: Bacteria
Description: partial 16S ribosomal RNA
Rfam family: Bacterial small subunit ribosomal RNA
Source: RNAcentral